UUAAUUGAAACCAAAUUAGAGGUAUAUCACUGUUAAUGAUAAAAAUGAGUAAAUUUCUCCGAUUAAA
Molecule: transfer RNA, 67 nt
Filed under: Curculionidae sp. 4 AH-2016
Lineage: Eukaryota; Metazoa; Arthropoda; Insecta; Coleoptera; Curculionidae
Description: tRNA-Asn
Source: RNAcentral